Long non-coding RNA from Helianthus annuus (common sunflower), 594 nucleotides. RefSeq lists it as uncharacterized. The transcript is spliced from 2 exons. Lineage: Eukaryota; Viridiplantae; Streptophyta; Magnoliopsida; Asterales; Asteraceae. The record is from RefSeq and is a predicted model, not a curated record.
AAAUGAACAAACCCUAACACCUUUUACAAUCGUAGAUGGUUUCAACACCAUUGCCGCCGCAGCACAUCUCCAAACCCUAGAUCUGAUGCCGGAGCACUCUUAAUGGUUGCUCUGGGGAUUGUGGUUCAAAGGUCACUCUUAAUUCUUAUCUAACAUGAUAUUUGAGCUUUUUAUGUCACGGUGUAUUACUAUUUGUUAAUAACAAAGGAUUAUGAAGGUAGUCUAGUCCACAAGCAACACUAAUGUAUAUCUUGAGGCAUUAGAUCACAUGAGACUAGUGUGUCCGAAGAUUUGUGUUGCACGUGUGUCAUGUGAGACCGUAAUGACUCUAGAUAGCCAUUCGUGUUGCUCGUGGGCUGGCUUACCAUCAUAAUCCUUUGUUUUAUUGACCUAUAGUCAUAUACCGUGAUAUAAAUAGCUCAAGUAUUAUGUUGGUUAAGAGGUCCGAUGUUAUUGUUGAUGAAAGUAUUGUUAGAGCAUCGUUUUUUGUACUUUGUAACUCUUGUAUGAACGAUUGUGUUUUUUUGUUUCAAUUGUAUCUUUGUAAUGAAACCUGUGGGUGUUUGUUUUGUUGAUGUUUGAUGGUUCUUGAAA